UACGUAGGUGGCGAGCGUUGUCCGGAAUCACUGGGCGUAAAGCGCGCGCAGGCGGCGAUCUACGUCUGGGGUGAAAGCCCGGGGCUCAACCUCGGGACUGCCUUGGAUACGGGAUCGCUUGAGAAUCGGAGAGGCAAGGGGAAUUCCACGUGUAGCGGUGAAAUGCGUAGAGAUGUGGAGGAACACCUGUGGCGAAGGCGCCUUGCUGGCCGAUUUCUGACGCUGAGGCGCGAAAGCGUGGGGAGCAAACAGG
Molecule: ribosomal RNA, 253 nt
Filed under: uncultured bacterium
Lineage: Bacteria
Also listed under: 1 other name
Description: partial 16S ribosomal RNA
Rfam family: Bacterial small subunit ribosomal RNA
Source: RNAcentral